GCGCUCAUUUCAGCAGCACAUAUACUAAAAUUGGAAUGACACAGACAUUAGCAUGGUACCUGCACAAGGAUGACUAACAAAUGCAUGAAGGGUUCCAUGUUUUU
This is a small nuclear RNA of Ailuropoda melanoleuca (giant panda), 104 nucleotides long. NCBI's taxonomy places the organism in Eukaryota, Metazoa, Chordata, Mammalia, Carnivora, Ursidae. The record is from Ensembl.